Molecule: RNA transcript, 2672 nt
Organism: Centruroides sculpturatus (bark scorpion)
Lineage: Eukaryota; Metazoa; Arthropoda; Arachnida; Scorpiones; Buthidae
Exons: 3
Source: RefSeq, a predicted model, not a curated record
AUCUUUGCGCCCAUUGGUUUAUCCACUGACCAAUAGGAAGGAGGAUUGAAAAUUUUCAAUCCUUAGCUUUAUUGGUUAUCAGAUUUCAGAUGGCUUGCGUUGUGUAAGAGGUUUUUUGCAAUAAGUUUAACGAAUUGUCUAAUUUUGUAGUCGUUUUAACUUUGAUAAUUUCUUUUUUUACCUUUUUAUUUACAAUCUUAAUGAAAUUCCGGGUAAAAUGUAUUUUAAAUAUAUCAUGCUUUUAGAAAUUUUUUUUGAGAGGCAUAAUUAAAAGACAUGUUUUAAACAAAAAGAAUUUUCGGGAGAAACGCAUGUAAACGGAAUCGUAUAGAAAAAAAUCAUAGAACUAUUUAUUAAUUACACCUUUUAAGCUACCAUUGGUAUAGCUAGUUUUCGUCGCGGAAUAACAUGUUGGCCGGCGAACUCAUACAGAAUUUACACACGUGACUGUUUAUACGAGUACUUCCUGCUCUGUGAAUGGUCGAUCCAUAAGCGAAUCAUAGAAAGGUAACCGUUUACACGUGGUUUACACAUUUACCUCGUGCUUACUGAUCAAUACAGUUUCGUUAGUUCGUUGAUACGUCGUUUUGUGAAAUGGAGGCAUCAGCAGAUAAUAUAUGUUCGGGUUGCGAGUAUAACUUCUUCGAGGCAGUGGGCUAUUCGGAAGAGCGUAUCAAAGAGGAAUUGCUUCGCCACGGCAUUUGGCGAAACAAAGUUAACUGCGGUCGGUGUGGCAAUCCUCUAAACGCGCAAGUGAGCGGAUUGCGUUUUCAUUGCGGAAAAACAAUCCGGCGGGGAAAAAAACGUCCGACGAAGUGUGAUUGGAGUAGGUCGGUUUGGGCAGGCACCUUCUUAGAAAAUAAGCAAAUUGACUUUGUUACCCUCUGGCGAUUCAUUCUAACUUUGUUAAUAUGGAAGCCUCCGAGGACUCCUCAGAUAACUCGAUUUCUCGGUCUUACCCAGAAGACCAUCGUUUAUUGGUACUCCUUUUGCAGGGAGGUAUUUAUCCACGAUGUGUUCUCCAAAGCGGAGAGACUCGGAGGACAAGACAGAGUUGUCGAGGUAGGAGAGGCGAAAUUGAAAUGUUGGAAAUUCGAUAAGGAUAGUACGUUCGAAGGCGAAUCGGUUUUUUGGGGUGUGGAGAGAGAGACUCUCCGAAACUUCUUAAUAUCCGUAGAUACAUGUGACGGCGAUACCUUGCUUUCGGUGCUGAGAGAGUGGGUGGUUCCCGGGGCAACAGUUAUGAGCGAUUGCUGGAAGGCGUACGAUUGUCUCGAAAAUGAAGGCUUUCGUCGCCUGACGGUCGAUUAUAGCUAUAACUUUGUUGAUAUCCGGAUAGGCAGCCACCUCAAUCCCACCAACAACACGUGGCGAGAAAUCUGCUCGAGCAUUCCCCGGAAGGGUGUCCGGAAGGACAAAACGCUCGGUUACUUGGCAGAGGGUCUUUUCAAAGCCAAAUAUCCGGACUUAGCAAAACGGCAUCACCACUUCCUCAUUGCCGCCGCUAAACUCUACCCGCCGGAUUACUAGCUUCGUAGGAGUUUGCUCGCAACCACCCUUUUCGGAGUGACCAUUUUUUAAAGAUCUGGUGAGAGAAAAACAAAUAGAGAAGUCUUGAAAAUGCUAGGACAUGAUAGAGAAUUAAUGACCAUCAUAAUGAAAAGAAAGGUUGCUUUUUAUGUCACCUAUUAUAUCAGAAAAGCCUCCAGAAAGAAGUUCUGGAAGGAAGAAUAGAGAGAAAAGAAGACCAAGAUUAAACUGGUCCGACAGCAUCAGAGAAUGGACUUUCAGGAUUGUGUCAGAGAAGCAUAACAUAGAGAAUAGUUUCAUGCAAUGGUAGUCAACUUCCAGAGAGGAGAUGCCACAUAGGAUGAAUGGAAGUCAUCUGGAAAUUUUGACGAUUGUUGAAAGAAGUUGACGACUGUUUGAAAGUGCAAAUAAUUAAUUCCAUAGUUGAUCUAAGUACAAAAUUUUUAACAUUAUAUAGUGAAUAUUCAUCUGGUUUGGAAUUGUUUUCUACAAUUAACACACUAUUAUCUGGAAUGUUUAAUUAAAAAAAUUGAAAGAUUAAUAAUUAUCUCAAUCGACACAAAAGAAACAACUUCUAAAACAAAAGAAACAACCUACAAAAUGUUUAAGAUUCUUAGAACCCAGAAUAGAAGAUAAAUUCGAAGGAAGAAAACAACAUAAAGGUAGUAAAAGUAAAUUAGAAAAGGAAAAAUUAAGAUACCAAUAUAAGAGGGAACUCAAAGGUGCAGUUAAAGAGAUAAGAAGUGACAAUUACUUUUUAGCAAAUCUUAAAUUUAAUGAAGAAUUGGAAAGAAAAGAGAAAGAACUGUAGUGUUGUAGUGUGUUAUGUGAUGAUAUUGUUUACUCUUACUGUUAUUUAUUUACUUUUGAAAUUGUGAAGUAUCGAAAAAUGUUAGUUGUUAUCAGUAAAUUUAAAAAAAUAAACAUUAUUUGAUAAUGGACAAAUAUUAAUAUUGAAUAAUUGAAAUUUUAUUGGGAAAAAUUCGUCAGAAAAAGUCAAUUUAUGUUGUUAUAAGGACGAAGAAUAAUUAUUAUAUAAUUGAUUACUUUUUUUAGACAAUAGAAAUGUUUUAAUAUAUCUUCAUUUGAUUUAGAAUUCUAAUCAACAGAAUUGAUACUUUCAAAAAUCAGAAAUGCUAGUU